CCUGCCCGUGCAGAUAAGGGGACGGGGAUGUGCGUGCGGGGUGAAAUCCCUUUCCUGCUCAGCAUCAUCCUGUCCCAUGCUCAGCAUCCUUUCCUCAUCUCAGCAUCAUGCUGUUCCCUCCUCGGCAUUUCUCCCAACCUCAGCAACCGCGGCACGAAGCAGCCCCGCUCCCGGUCCCCGCCCGGCGUCCCCACGCCCCGCCGCCAGACUCGCGGCGUGGGGCGUUUUUGGGGCGCCGCGUCGGCAGCCUGCAGCCCCUCCUGGAGGGCCAACCCUGCUACUCGCCAUUUAAAAAAACUUUCUUUUUUUCCGCCGUUUCUCCCAUUUGGCCCGGAGCCCGAGGGCGGAGAGGGGCUGAAGGAGCGACAGGGCGAGUGCUGGGCGGAGGGAGAAGAGUUGCGCUGCCGUGCACGGCUUCCCGCCCGCCGGGCGGCCACGGAGGGGUCUGGCCUUGGCCAGCCCGUCCGCCUGCGCUCCCCGGCCAAGGAAAAGCUUCUUGGCAGUGCCGCCGGCCCGGGGGAAAGAGGCUUGGGGCGCCCGGCAGAAAGGGGCGGGGAGCAUCCCUACUCCAGAGCCACCCUUCGCGGGGCUGAGGCAGGGCAGCCGGCAUCCCACCUUCGCCGGGGCCAGGACGGAGGGCAAGGCGGCCACUGUCCGUGGGGAACGGGCGGGGAGGCGCUGCAAACGAUGUCGAGAUAGCAGGCAGAAGCAGCCCACCUCAAACAACACACCACCCUCGCUCCUUCCGAGCCGGCCGGGCGAUCCGUGAGCCUCCCCUUCCGAGCAAUCCCAAAACAUAAGGUGAACUGGACAUCAAUCCAUUCUCCCUGGCUCAUCUGCUGUGGUGCUAACUUAGAUAAUGUACUGCAUUUUUCUACUAGGAACAGAAGUAAAGUUCAAUAUCUGUCCCUACGGAG
Molecule: RNA transcript, 917 nt
Organism: Passer montanus (Eurasian tree sparrow)
Lineage: Eukaryota; Metazoa; Chordata; Aves; Passeriformes; Passeridae
Exons: 4
Source: RefSeq, a predicted model, not a curated record